This 340-nucleotide transfer-messenger RNA is filed under the name Monoglobaceae. RNAcentral describes it as "CAMCUJ01 sp945878965 Standard tmRNA". It matches the Rfam family "transfer-messenger RNA". Rfam says of the family: Bacterial tmRNA, also known as 10Sa RNA or SsrA, is named for its dual tRNA and mRNA-like properties. Its role is to liberate the mRNA from a stalled ribosome. To accomplish this part of the tmRNA is used as a reading frame that ends in a translation stop signal. RNAcentral also lists the same sequence under 1 other name. The record is from RNAcentral. Lineage: Bacteria; Bacillati; Bacillota; Clostridia; Monoglobales.
GGGGACGUAAUGGUUUCGACGGGGAGGUUGAAGCUUACGGCGCGAGCCGUGUGGGAACACGUAAAAGCCCAAAAUUAAAAUAAACGCUAACAGAAAUUUAGCAUACGCUGCCUAAUGGCGGCUGUCCGCUCCUGAUUACCGCAGUCGGGAAUUCGGGCAUCAACGAUGCGGUGAACGUGAAUUUCAAAAGCUUUGAUGAAGUCACGCAUUAAUGAAGCUACCGAGCCUUUAAGUUUGUUUGUGGACUUUUUGGUGAGGGAAUGCUGACCACAAACUACGCUCGUAGUGCUGUUUUUGAAUACUUCUUCGGACACGGGUUCAACUCCCGUCGUCUCCACCA